This is a long non-coding RNA of Zonotrichia albicollis (white-throated sparrow), 1805 nucleotides long. The record is from Ensembl. Lineage: Eukaryota; Metazoa; Chordata; Aves; Passeriformes; Passerellidae.
AUGAGGAAGUGGCCAGCACUUAGAGCUGUUGGUGGCCCUCCCCUUCCCAUGCACUUGUGGGCACCAGCAAAGCCCAGAAAAAGCUGUCAGAUGCUCUGGAAGGCAGCAGAGACCUGCCUGGGCAUCAGCAAAGCCCAACAAAAGCCCUGUGGUCCUCCACAGGGAAGCUGGGCCCCUUAUGGGCCUGGCAAAGCUUGGCAAAAGCCCUGGGACACUCUGAAAGGCAGCAGGGCCCCUUGCAGGGCAAAGCAAAACUUAGCAGAAGCCCCAGGGUGCUCUGGAGGGAAGCAGGGCCCCUUGUGGCAAAAGCCAUCAGAUAGGGUUAGGUGGUCGUGGUUAGGUGUAGGGUUAAGGACAUGGGUUAGGUGGUUGUGGUUAGGGGUAGGGAUAUGUUUAGAGUCGGGGUUAGGGGUUAGGUUUUGUUACAUGGUUUGCAGUUUAGAGGUAGGGGUGAACUUUAGGCCUUGGAGUUUAGGUUUAGGGGUUGGGAUUAGCUUCAUGGUUAGCAUUAGGGUUGGGGAUUAUGGUUAGGUUUUGGGAUUAGGGUUUAUAGUUAAUGUCUUUAUGAUUAGGUUUCUGUUUUGGGUUUAAAGUCACACUGUAAAUAUUUGGGUUACAGUGUUAAAUUUAGGGCGUUAGUUUUAAUGUUUCGUUUUAUAGUUCGGAGGUGGAGAUUUGAUUUGGGUGUUAAAAUUAGCAUUAAAUUUUAGAGUUUGUUUUAGGAGUUGAAUUUAGGAUUAGGAUUUAGUGCCUUACAUCUUAGAUUUAGUGUCAUUGUUAGAGUUUAUUGUUUGGGUUAGGGCUAAAGUCAGCUUUUGGGUUGUGACUUAGAGGGUUUUUUUAAUAGAUCAUAGAAAUUAAUAAGAUAUGUAGUGGACAUGGUAUCUGUAUGUAUGGACUAUUUGCCCUUGUUCUACAUGCUGUUUUUAGAGGGCAGUGGGAUUUGGAAACUGGGUGAGUUGAUGCAUAUAGCAACAGGUGUUUUGCCUAUCACAAGCAAGAUUUUGUCAGCAGAAUUGGCCCAGGCACCACAUGCAGCUAGAAUACAAGAUGGUUUAGUACAAGUGUGAGCUGUCUAGACCCCUUGAUAGGGAUUUGAGAAGCCAGUCAGGCAUGCAAGUGAUACAAAUCCAGGAGGAAUUACUGCUGCUUUGGAAGACAGGCUCAUGGAGCAGGCAUGCUUUCCUGACUGAAUGAAAGAACCAUUGGUGUCACUCGAGAGAUUCAUGGAAAGCAGUUCAUGCAGCCAGAAAUAGUCAGAUGCACAAGUAGAAGAGUGGCAGAGAUGUCAAGGAAUGUAUCAGAAGCUGCAAGAUAUGAUGACUAACAGUAAAAGUGUGCUGCUCCUUGUGGGAGCAGCAGAUGCCAGUCACGCCAACCAUCACUCGUAAGUGAAUCCCAAAUCAUAUCAGCCAGGCUUUACUCUGAUGUCCAUAGCAUGUGUUAAACUAGUAGAGAAAAGAACUAACAAAAAAAAGUAAAAAUGCAUACAGACGUUUUUUGAGAAGCACAACAGGGACAAUGACCAGUUUGAUAAAAAAGGAAGAGAGUCAGCAGUGUUUAAUCCAGGAAAAUAGGCCAAAUGGGGUUGUCAUUGCCUUUUAAAGGUGGAUAAAGGUAUAUUUUGCAGUUUGGACAGUGAAUCAGUAGCCAUGAGGCAUGGAACAAGCCCUGAUCCGGUGCAUUUUUCCUAGAACUAGUUAAGAAUAGAUUUUGUGUUUUUAAUAUAGCUAUGCUUUAGUAUGGAAAUGAAAAAGAAAUUAAAGAAAUCAAAUAAACCCAAUUGUUAAGUGACUUAAUAAUCA